AAAAAAGCGUGAGCCAUUGGAUGAAGAUUCAUUAUUUGACGUGGAUCAUCACACGGCCUAGAAGCGCGCGUUCACCAUACACCUUGGUCAACUGAAACACACCCAGACAUUAAAAGAGUCAUAACAUUGGACGCAUGAGAUUCAAUCUAGAAAUAGAGAUGGACGCUCCUGAUUGAAUCUGGAGACCAGACGGUGGCCAGCGCCACUGUCUUCUCCGAC
RNAcentral lists this long non-coding RNA (219 nucleotides) under Lathyrus oleraceus (garden pea). Its description in RNAcentral is "Pisum sativum (pea) long non-coding RNA (PSAT_LNC034667)". Lineage: Eukaryota; Viridiplantae; Streptophyta; Magnoliopsida; Fabales; Fabaceae. The record is from RNAcentral.